Molecule: long non-coding RNA, 417 nt
Filed under: Mytilus galloprovincialis (Mediterranean mussel)
Lineage: Eukaryota; Metazoa; Mollusca; Bivalvia; Mytilida; Mytilidae
Source: RNAcentral
GGGGCAAGUAUGGACACAACAUUCAAGCUGGAUUCAGCUCUAAGUUUGGAUUGUGAUUAAAUAAUUGACAAAGCAUAGGUUUUUGACACAGAAUGAAUGUGGUCUAAUGAACUUAAAAAAAUUUUUUUGCCUUUGAGCAAUUCACUAUGCUGUUGAAUAUUAAUCCUCUCAAAAAAAUGUUUGAAGAAAUUUUCUAUUAUUUAUGAAAUCUGAAAUGAGAAAAAUUGAACACCCCUCCAUUUUUUUUCACAUCCCCUUUCCCUUUUUCCAAAACUGAUCUCAAUUCAAAUUUCUAAUGGAGUUUGCAACAAUAACUACUCAUUUAAAUACAUCAUAAAAUAUUAAAAUGUAAAAUAAAGUGCUUGUUAUCACUGAAUGGUAAAGAUUGUUUUAAUUUAUCAGUUGGUAGUAAAAGUG